GCCUGGUUUUCAACCUUCACAGAUCACCUACUUUGCCAUGUAGGGCAAGAGAUCAUCAGUAAGAACAAAAACAAUAUUGCUAACACCCUUGAGCAAGUAAGCUCACAAAACUCAACAAAGGGGAGGAGUAAUAAACUUACGAUAGAACUAAAUAUAAACAUGAAGCUCCAUUAGUGCCAUCAUAUGUAUACUGAAAUUAGUUCAGAAGGCCACUAAGACUCGAGGAAUCAAAAUAAAGGAAUCAUAGAAAGCCUGCUUUAGAAAAGGAAAUUCUAGAAAGAUUGGGGUGGGAGCAAGAGUGAGGAAAGAGGGGAGGGGAGAGAUAAGGAUAGCCCUAGAAAAAUAGUUAAAAGGAGAAAAGAGGAUGAGAACAGAAGGAAAGGUGGGGAAAGGGAGAAAGAGAACUGGGGAGGAGAAAUAAAAGAAAAACAAGGGGAGUCAGCAGAAAAUAAAAGCGGAACAAUAAAAGGGAGAAUAAAAAUAAAAUAAAAUUCAUUACAAUACGUUGCCAAGAAUUUGCAGCUAGUGGAGAAGAAAAUGUUCACUGGCUGGUCAGUUUCAAACUUUACAAAAUUGUAGUAGUAAAAUCAGGCUGAGUGGAUAUGUCAACGGAGUCUAGUAGGACAAGGACGUAGAGAAAGGUUUGCCGUUUCAGAAUAGCCUCUCUUAUCUCUGUGAAGCUGCUUUUGGGAGGAUGCUGUUUCCUAGUUAUUUCCUUCCAUUCAUCAUCUGAGAGAUCUUCCUUUUCACCCAAAGUCCCAAUGAGAACUUCAUAGAUGAAUGGGAGUUUGACCCCAGUUCUGUGGGGUGUUAGCAUCCAAAAUGCAUAUGUGAAGGGUUAAUUGCAAGAGCUGUGGAACCCCAUGACCUCAUACACUCUGCGGCAGUUAUGGCAGUUGGUACAGUUAUGACAGUUAGUUGAACAGUCUUAACAGUCUAGAGCGGCCGGCAUGUUGUGUUGUGAUGCUGUCUGCCUCAGGGCCAGAGUUAGUCUGCAACAGUUUAAAUCUAUGUAAGAUGUUCUAGCAACUCAAGAAACACCCACCUGCGUUGUAUAUAUUUUAAUCUGCAACUGCAAGAACACUAAGUAAAAGUUAUAUAUUAUUUAAACUUUAAAAGAGGGUGUCUUGCAUAGUUGUUAUAGGAGGGGAAAGAGAACAAAUUAAAGGGUCAAAUGACCCAGAGCUAUUUUUCCACAUACUCUGCAAAUGGGAACUAGAGCAGACCCUCCAAGUAUCCCUAUUUUCCAGGGAUUUCCCUGGUUUAAGAGAAGCCAUCCUGGUUUCUGAUUUGAUCCCAGAAUGUCCCACUUUUCUUUAGGAUGUCCCUAUUUUCAUCAGAAAAAUGUUGGAGGGUAUACUAGAGUUUACUUCCCACAAGGUCUCCCCGGUCCUAAUCCAGGGUGAGUGAGAAUGUGUGGGCAUGUACUGAUACAUACUUAGAUUAGUCAUAACCACAUCCACAUCUAGGCAGUGAUGUGCAUCAGCCUGCAUAUAGACUAUGCUAGUGGAAGCAAGACUCCUUUAGCAAGCGAGAGGAGCUGGCACGCACUUCAGGAAAUACCUUAGUAACUCUCAAGGUGCUUGAGAGUUGACGCUGAGAAGGAGAACCAACUAAAGCUUCGGUAGGAAAUGGAUACAGAUGUACACUGUGGGACAAAUGCUUCAGGGAUUUAAAGAAACACCAUCUCCUGCAAAGCACCCGCCCACGCCAUUGUAUUAUGUUAGCAUACCAGUCACUUCUGCACACCUGGGAGAUGUUGGCAACGCCACAUGCACAUCAAAUCUACUGAACAUAUGACCUGGGCAGUUUAUUGUGUUGUUACUGUGCCAGGUGGAUGGGCUGUACGUAGAUUCUUAGGUCAUUACUUAUUCAUUUACAGUUUUUAAUUGAUACUCUGCCGUAUUCCUCAAGAUCAGGGUAUUCUGGGGUAUUCUCAGGGUAUUCUGCCGUAUUCCUCAAGUUUUUGGGGGCGGGGGGGGCAGAAUAAUCUUGGUGCUUCAAACUCACAUCUCCCGCUCAAGAUAGCAUUUUGAGCAAUGCAACUAAAUACCAGAUCAAAUGCCCAUUCCUUGCUCCCACUUGCACUUCUUCCACUCCAAGGAAGAACAAUUUAAUUAAUAUCUCAUUUGUUCUGUUCAGCUGCAGUACUCAUUUGCCCAGAACACUCAAGCAUGCACACAGCCCAGUGUUUCAACACUUUGAUAGUGUUGCUUCACACCAAACGUACAUAUUUGUCUCAAGGCCUUCCCAUCAAUGACACACACCUGUCUCUAGGCCUUGUGUGCCAAGACAUUUUUCUCUUUUAUUUCGGAGCCACUAGAUUGCUCAUAAACAUUCACAACAUGGAUGCAAUGAUUCACAACUGAUCCAAUGGCUAGUGGGCUGGCCCGUUUCAAUAUACUGGAGCUUCAGUUCUUAUAGCAAACUGUUGGCAUCCAUCUGGCUUGGGAAACAAUGGAAGAGUGCAGCAUCAGGGGUAAAGUCAAACCCUUGGAGAAUUACAGCGCCUGCUGUGGCUGUAGAGACCAAUACAGGAAAUACAUGUUUUACUGCAGCUGGGGCAGAUGAAGGCGUCCAGUUGUGCUGCUACAGAGGCACCACUACGUUUUUUCCCCUCUGAACUUCUCACAGUGGUCAUUUCUCCUCUGGUCAUUGCUGUGAAUACACAAUCUGUCUGUCUCCAGGCACUGCGGUCGUCUGCAAGGGAUUAUCACACGCUGCCACAUUCGGUAAAAUAUACUGUUGACAUGUCAGAUCCUGUCAAAUGUUAACUUUGGUGCCAUCAGAUAUGAUCAGAUGUUAACUGUUCCUGAAAAAUCACUGAAUGUCCAGGGUUGGUGACAAAUUGAACCACUAACAAUCAUCCAUGUUUAGCCAUGCAAUAUUUUGGAAAUAUAAUAUAUUGAGUACUAUACAGUAGGAGGAUAAUUCACAAUGUGGCACAAGGAAAGGAAGGUCAGCAUGUUUGUGUGUGUGGUUUUCCCCCCUGGGCUCUGUUUCUGAAUCUUAUGCUUUCACCACCCUUGUGCAAAUAUGAACCUUCAAAUCUCUCCCAGGGUGCCUUCCCACCAUCUUUACAGCUGCAGCUGGAGCAAAGUCCCUUUUGAUGACUGGCAGUUAAAACAUUUUUGUGGUUUGUUGCCUUAUCUAACCACUUAGACCUAAAGAAAGAUGUUCUGACAAGCAAGAUGGUACAAACUCAAGAGUAAACACAUAUUUGAAUGACUUGGGUAGAGGAGGGAGGGAGGUUUAAGAGGCAGAUAGCAUCGCCUUUGUUAUAGCAAGCAGUUAUUCUUUCCUUCCGUAGCCUCACUUCUAUCAAGAGAACUUGAGGAACACAAUGGAUUAUAUAUAUAAGUAUUUAACACACACACCCAGCCAAUAUAUAGGAAGCAGUGACAAGAUGGUAGUUUAUGUUGUUGUGCCUAUGGCAGCUUCCAGCUCUGGCAUAUCAGAAAUUGGGCCAGCCCUACCAUUAGACAGAGCGAGGUGUCGCUUCAGGCAGCUCUGAUUUAGGGUAUGAUGAAAGGGUUACGGAUGAGCAAAUUUCUUUUUCUCUCGGUUUCUCAUUUCCCCCUCAAUCAUAAAUUCAGUUUUUCACAUUUCCACAUCAGUUUGCAAUUUUUUUUUUUUAAAAAGUGUGAAUUUCUCCUAAUACAUUUUUUCCUUUGCAAUUUUGCCUAAUUGACUCAUUUCUGAAAAGCAAUUUCCCCUAACGAAAUGCAUUUUGUAUGCUAUUUUCCCAACAUGUGACUUUUUAUGCACACUUCAGUAUGCCUUAGUAUAUGUAUACCCCAACCUAACCCUGCUCCCAAAUUACUUGGCUGGAGAACUGCAUUGCAAAAUUCAGAGAAGUGCAGAUUUUGAAAACUGGCUACGCUUAGGUUUGCAUAUUGAUUCAGAAAGUGCAGAUAAGUUAUGCUCAUCUUAAAAUGUAAACCAAAUAGAAUUUAUCGCCCGGCUGAGAGGUAAUCUCCAUUGAGUUUGAUAGGACUGACUUCCAAGUAAGUAUGUACUGGACUGCAGAUUUAACUCCCAGUUGUAUUUUUACUGCUAGAGAGGGGAAGAGGCCCCUGUGGGAUAUUCUGCUUCAGGUGCCAAAUUCAUUUGAUGGGCCUUGGGUACCUUGCAUCCAGAACUGUGGUAGUGCAGGGGAGACACCUCUCCACUGCUGCAAAAUGUCUCAUGACCCCAGUCCUGAGCUUGGGAAUUACAAUUGUAUGAUAAUCUUAAUAUUUAGUUAUCAUCAUAUUUAUCCCGCUCUGGGACCUUAGGGUGAAGGGUAGGGGAUAAACAAACAAACUUCACAGUUUUUUUUCUCAUCUGGAGGUACCAUCCCGUUGCACAACAACCAACAACCUACACUGCAUGGCAUAGGAAAGAAUUUUGCACGAUUGCUAUUGAAUACAGGAUAGUGAUUAUAUAAUGGUUAAUAAUAAUGAUGAUGAUAAAAAACCACCCUAUAGUUGAAAAAGUCAAUGCAGAAGGAAGGUGUGAAACCACAUCGGUGUGUAAUAUGACUCACAGCUAGCACAUGUUUAAGAGCCACAUUCAUUUUCCAUUAGAUUAGCACCCAAAUCAUCAGUGAUGCACUACAAAAACGAGCCUGCUAAGAAAUCAGAGAGCUUUAUGUUUCCUCCACACACUCCAGAGCUUCAUUCAAUUACACUUAUUCUUCUGAAUCCUUGAUGUUGAAUUAAUAGCAUAAUUUCACAGCCUGAUGACUUAUAGAGCAACUCCCCUCUCUUCAUCAUAUGAAAAGAGAAAACCCUCCUAGGAAAUGGAAGGAAGUCAGGUUUUCGAAAUGUGGGGAUUUCCCUCCCCCGGCCCAGUGACUAACACCACAAAGCCCCCACAUUUCAGCCAAAUUCUUGAACUCAUCAAAACUUCCAACGAGCCCCCAGUCAAAUAAACAGGGUGCUUUUAUUGCCACACCCCUGCUAUUUUGUGGUACACAUUUAUCAAAUUUCUGAAAGUAGAAGAUUCCUGAAUUAAAAUGGGAAUGUCUCACUUAUGCCUCGACAACAUCUGCUUUCAGAUAUGCAAGGGUGUAAGAAUUACCUUCCCCUUUGGAGGCCCCCAAUCCACAUUUUUGUGUGAAUGAGUCACAGUUAUUGGUGUUCCCCCUAAUGUGAAGGAGGCAUGUGUGGAAUAGUAAGUCAUUAUGAGAUGCAACAGCACAGCCUCCUCCUAUGAGGGUCUGUAAUUCAGAAGUGACUGAAUGAUCCAUGCAGAGGCAUGGCAAAAUUAUUAUUAUUAUUAGAGCAGUGCACUUGAUCUAACUGAAUCACAGAUCCCAAGCAGAAUUGGACCAAUUUGGGUCAACCAAGGUUUUUACCACAGUGGGUUAAGGGACCCCAGGUUCAAAUGGGUCCACCAAGACCACCAUGGGGCUGUAAAAAUUGGGGAAUAGUCUGGUGGCAAGGAGACAGAGGAGGAGAUGCACACAGGCAACUCUCCCCUUCUCCCCCUGACAAGUUUAAUUAGGGUUUAAGUAGGGUAUAAUAACUUGCCUCGCCUGGGUUUCCUAACGUUCCCUUCUUUUCUCCCUCUUAAAAACCUUUUCUCCCCCUUAAAAUAAAUAUCACACAAACUGCCAUAAAAGGUGAAAAUAGCAUUUACUCAGUCUACGUCUUGAAUAAUAACAUACAGCAGCUUGAUGUAGGCAGGCUUAGUGAGUUACUAACACUGAAGUCUAGCUCAGGGGUUGGCAAAGUUUUGGGGGCUGGGGCCGGUUCACAGUCCCGCAGACACCGCGGUGGGCCGGAGUGUGUGCUCGUGUGCGCACACACGCGCAGACACUAUUUCUGGCGCUCCUUCUGGCACGGAGGAGGCGUGUGCAGCUUCCCAUUGGCUGCAGGAGCUUCCUGCAGCCAAUGGAAAGCUGGCCAGCAUUGUGGAAGGCGGUCCCCGCUCUGAUCUGCGCUGGUUUAGCCGACUGAGCGGGCAGUGGGGGCCCACGGGCCGGUUAAAUAUCCCCCAUGGGCCUUAGGUUGCUGACCGCUGGUGUAGCUUAAAAAUGGAGUCUGAGCUGGAGUCUGAGCUGGAGUUCAGACAGACAGAUGUUUUCACGUUACAGACAUGGCAGAGGAGCAAAUAUAGCCACACCCUCUUCCUGUCAGGACACAAGAGGGAAGUGAUCUCACAGAGUUCUCUUUAGCACGUUUACAGGAAAGUUCUGUGAGCCUCAGCCCCUUCAUCUGCCUAUCUGGCAAAAUGUGAAUUGUUGGCUUGGCUGCAAUAAAUGCCCCACAUUUAAUACUGCUUGCGCUGGAAGCCUGCCCCAUGUGGUGAGCCAGUGCACUGCAUGCUGCAGCCUCUGCUUGUUAUUAUUUAUUACAUAUAUAUAAAUUCAAUAAAUAAUAAUAAUGGCAGCUCACAGUGGCGAACAGACAAGUGAUGAAACAUGUAAAAACAAUUCUGAUAGAGAUGCAGACUGGGAACCAUCUCUUCUUAAAAGGCUCGUUAGAAGAGGGAGAUGCAUCGUGCUAUUCUGGACAGACUCUGUCCACCCUGGUUUGCUAUUGGUUCUUCCCAGGAAGGUGUGUAAGAGGGCUUCCUCUCCCAGUUAAGCCUUGGUCUUCCUUGCCUCCAGUGCAUUCCUAUAUCCUUUGGCUGUCUUUCAGUCCUGCCAUCUGGUCUGAUCCUCAAUCAAAUCCAGUUACCUAAUUGAUACUGCUAGUGAAUCCUAGGGGUCUUCACUGGAUUGCCUUCUUAGCAUUUUCCAAUGCUGCGCAAAUGUCUGUAUAAUUGCAUUGCUACAUAGACCUUCCUAUAUUGGCACCUGUGCAGCUAAAUGCACACCAAGAGAGUUUAAUCAGAAUGGUCUCCAUUAACUUAUCUCAUCUAGAGCCCUCAACGUAUUAAUACAAGUUUCUGUGAUGUAUUAAAACAUGGUCGAACUCACCGGGGAGAUAGACAGAGUGUAAAAUAAAACAAUUUUGCUUUCGUAGCACAGGUAUAAUUGGUACGUUAAUUGCAGUCAACUUUACCUCUCUCAAUAUUAUUAACCUCCUGAUUUUCUCCAGCACGGCAAGUGGAGGAAUAUCAUUCUAUAGUAUAUUCUCAAGAAGGGGAUUAAAUAAUAGGCACAAAUGAAGUCCAAAUCUAGUACAAAAACACACACACGGAAAAGAUACAUCUCCCAGCUGUCUCACUAAUAUAUCCCAAGUCUGAGAUAGCUAUCAGAGCAGCCCAGACUUCAAAUUAUAGCAAUUAUGACGGUUUGUGCUGGUAGCCAGGAGGUGGGAAUUUUUUGAUGUGGUUAAAAAUAACAUCUUUUUUUAAAAAAAAAAUCCCAUAAAAAUUACAUUUUGCUAAUUUUCUGAUAAGAUAAUGUUGGAGCUAGGUAGCGUGUCUUCCAGAGCCUGUUUUCAAUUACAGCUCUUCUUCCCCUUCUGGGCUUUUACCACCUUGUCUAUGGGAUCCAAUUCCAUUCUGAGGAGUUCAUUUGUUUUAACUUUCUUAAUUAAUUGUAUUGUAUAGGUUUUGCCUUUCAAGCCGAUAUCAAUCUUCCAGAGUUAUUAACGAGCCUUGAUUGCCAUGGCGUGAUACAAAGCUCAGCACGGUUAAGUUGUUCUCUCUGUCACACGCAGAACAGAGUUCCCACAUUAGCCCGCUAAACAAAAAUAAUUGCACGUAAUUUAGAGGGGAACAAAGGACAAGAGCCUUGUGGUUGGGGAGGCUGAGGAAUAAUAACAUACAGAAAUCAAGUUGUGUGUCUGACUUCUCUUUCCGAAUUAGAUACCCAGGCUAGAUACCCAAUUGGGCCCAACAGCCAUCAGGUUUGUUAAACAAAACCUCCCACUGACUGUCCUCUAAGCCAGUGUUUUUCAACCACUGUUUCUAUUAUGCUUAAUGUAUGUAGGGUUUGGUGUCAGUGUUGCUUGUGCUGUUCACUUGUGUUCCUUUGGUGGUGAGAGAGGUUAGGGUUGGCCUAGGGUGUGGUUGUUUGUUUGUGAUUGGCUGUGGUGAUCUUUGUUUUCGUGUGUGAGUGGGGUGGGUGGGUGUUUUGGAUCAGGUUAGCCAUAUUGAUUUGUAUGCUGUUGGUGGAUUAUUGUCAUUGUCUUGUUGGGCUGUGUAUGUGAUAAAGGGGAGCCAUACCGGGGUAAAGGCGUCUUCUUCUGUUUGUCCCCAUGUCAGUUUCAGUUUAUUAGUUAAUUUUUCUAGUAAGGCUGUUUCCCAUACUAUUUGGUACCAUUGGUCCAUGCUUACUCCUGACAGGAACAGAAAAGCUUUUAAAAACACAUAUGGAAAUCUAUGGUUUUGGAUAAAUGCUGCAGCAUCACCCAAAAAGCAAGUUUUUUUAAAAAAAUAGUAACAACAGAAAUGGGAGCGUUACGAAUCCGCGGACAUCUUUAAAAUGGCACAAAGCCCUGGGUCCUCCUUUUUCCUGCUCAUUUUUCUGACGGUAUUAAUUUGCACCGUUUGAUCUUCUGCAAUUUGUAGCAACCUCACCUGUCUUUUGAGAUUUCUCUUCUCGGGAUAAGCCUGUCGCCUCAGAUAAAACUGCUGAUUUUUAACAGGCUGGAAAGCAUUUUGGUGAACAAAGAGAACAACCUAACAGUCAACAUCAGGGCCUGUAGCAGUGCGCAAUCCAGAUCCUUGCUGCCUCUGCCAAACUUCAGCAGCCAUGGGGAGAGAGGUGUCUUGCACCCCUUGCGGGAUACAGGUGACUAGUUUGCCAAAUGAGUGCCGGAAUACAGGAAGCUGGCUUGUAGAGAGUCAGACUGUUGAUUUCAUCUAGCUCAGUCCUGCCAGCUCUGACUCGCAGUGGCUCUCCAGGGUUCCAGGAAUCUGUCUCAGCCCUACCUGGAUACGCUGGGGAAUGAAUCUGGGACCUAUUGCAGGCAAGGCAGAUGUUCUGCAACUGAGCUAUGGAAAAAUGAUAUCUUCUGUAUUCAAAAAAGUGGGAAGGGGGUGGUGGGAAGAUGACGUACUGCACUAAUCGUUGGUAUUUGUUUGUUUGCUUGUUUAUUUCUUUGUAUAAUGUAUCUAAAAUCUGACCUUCGCCUGAAGGUCCCAUGGUGGAAAUAUACACAAUUCAAACCAAAAAUUAAACUAGAUUAAAGCAGCAUAAAACAAAAUACAGAUGAAACUAUUGUUGUACAAUAAUAAUAUAUAAUAAUAAUAAACUACCGCCCAUUUUCAGCCCAUUAGAGGUGUGUUUUCCUUUGACAGUGUUGCAACUAGAAUAGAUUUAAUGCAAUAUUUAAUACAAUAUUUUAAGGCACUACUGAAGCAUGUAUUUGGUUGAUUGUUUUUUUGGGUUGAUUGCAGCAGGAGAGAUACUACUCAAUUCAUCCAUUCAAAUAAACAAGACUUGGAAAUGCUUAGCACAGGUUACCCUGAAAUUAUUGUUGGAUAAGCUGCUGCGGUUUUAAAUGAAAUGCAGGUAGGUAGGCCAUCAAGGGAAAGCACUUUGAGCAGAGGAGCAGUUAAAGAUCUUAAUUCACUUUCUCUAAAAUCUUUUAUGAACUUGCCAAACGUAUAUUACAUAUCUAUUGAGAUAAAAAGAGAAGGGAGGAAAGUGUCAACAGAAAAGUCUCUGUGCUAUGCCGGGUUUUGUUUUGUGUACCUGACCGUAUAUUUUACCUGGUCAAUUACGUCUUCUCUCUCCAGGGCUCAGCAAUAAUCCACCUGUCAGCUAUGGAAGCCCAAACUGCACUUUGCACCAGCACUCGUGACACUAUUUAAUUGGAGUGGGGGAGGGAAUGGAAGGCGAGGGAUCCUUUUCUUAGGCAGGUGCAUCUGAAAGUCAAAAAUGACCAAGGAGACCAUAGUGGUUGGCCUUCAGCUCUUUAAACAUCUCCUGGAGUUGCUAUGCAGCAGAAAAAGAGAGAGAAAGGGCACUCCAGUGUGAUGGUGGCAGUAGGAAAAGAAAGAGGGUGGAAUCUCUAGUAUUUGCUGAUGACAAUAUCAGUGACAGAGCUAAGAAUUAAGUAAUGCCUCGCUACAUCCAACCAUGUAUAGCUACAAGGCCUUAGAAGGCUUAUCAGCAGCACACAUUAGAGAUUGACAAUAUUAUUACAUGCAGUAAAAAAUACUGCAACUUUUUAUAGAAAAUUUUUGGAAGGUCUUGCGGGGGGUGUUUCACAGUACCACAGCAGGGGACUUGAAGUCGGCAAAGUUUUUUAAAAUAUAUAUAUUUGAGGGUUUGGGGACACUAAAAAAAAUGUUAUGGAGCAUAGAAAAACUUAGCAUCAAGGCAUCACAGCGGAGGACCCAUUGAAGCAGUAGAAAAAAACCCUAAGGGAAAAAUAAUGACUAAUUCUUUUGGGGGGGGUUGUGGCCCAUAACAUUGUUUGUGUGUGUUUCUAAAUACAGUUUACAGACUGCAGGUUAGCCAUGUUUCAUGUCGAUGGUGAGGUUUUGGCUUCCUAAGGAUCCAAACUUGGAGAAGGAAGUUAUUAUUAAUCUAUAAGAUUGCUCUAAACACAAAAAAAAUUCCCUCCAUGGCUGACCUUGUGCUGACCUUUUAUUUCUCAGCCUCCAUGUUAUCCACCUGCAAUACAGGAGUGUUAACUGGUUGUCUAUGUGUUUGUGCAGCUGUGCAGGAGACUUUUACGGUUUUUGUGUUGAAAGCCCUAAAUCUACAGUGACAUAGAAUUGUAGAGUUGGAAGGGACCACGGGGGUCAUCUAGCCCAACCCCUUGCAAAGUCGGAAUCUUUUGCCCAAUGUGGGGCUUGAACCCAUGAACCUGCGAUUAAGAUUCUCAUGCUCUACUGACUGAGCUAUAUCUUGCAUACAGACUUGUACUUGCAAACACAGAUUGCUCUAGUGUAUGGCUUGUGUAUGGCUUGGGGUACAAAAGAUCAUUGACUGUGCUUCCUAAUCCAUCUUUUUGAACCCUGCUGCACCCUGCCACUGUUUUGCACCUGGCUCCAAGUUGGUGGUGGACCAUGGAGUUCCAGUAAAGAACAGUCCCACAAGCCUGAAGCCUGCCUGCUCCUUAUUCCAGAAAUAGUGGACAGUUUCCUCCCAAUCCGAGCCGUGCUAGGGAGCCCCACUCCACAAUUUCAGGCUGCCUAUAAAUAGUUCUGCAUUUAGAUCUCACUGUUUAAGCUCAAUGCCUUGUUUAUUCUUCCUGUCUAACCUGUGAUGCAUCCAUUGUAGAGAUGACUAAGAGAUUCAUGUUCAGCGGGAGAAUCAGGAUAAGGUACAUGCCAAUCACAGAACAGCAUGCAGGAAGUGACAGCUCUGAAUGACACAGAUAUGUGUCUACAUCAGUUACAAGCUCAGAUAGACAACCGCCCCACAGCUGCCUGCCAGAUCUGAAAACAUGGAUCCUGGGAAAUAUAAAAGAAACCAAAGAGCUGGUUUCAGUUCUGCUUUGCGUACAACAUGUAGCGUUCAUUUCCCCUAUCGUGCCAACGUCCUUUCUUCAAAAGGAUGGAAUUUGGGAAACAUAGCUUCUUCUUUUUUUAAAAAAUAAUAAAAAUAAUAAAAGACACAUAUUUCUCCCACCUGCAAGAGGAACUACUUAUAUAUAAACGCUGACCUUUAAAGUUUUUCAGAUCACCUUUACAAAGAGAUCCUCUCAGCUUUCAUCCCCAUAGGAACGCAAGCAAUUUGCAAGGCACACAGAGCCUCUUAGAGCAAUACUGCCCACCAUCUUGCGGCACUGGGAAACUUUUUUAAAUGGAGGAGAAAAAUUCUCUUCUCCUCCCCCCCCACCUUUUCUCCCAGAAUGGAUAGACAGUCUUACCCAGCAUUGCCUCUCUGCAUGUCAGUAACUAGCGGGCAGGUAAAAAGAGAGAGAAAGAAAAGAUCUUUUUAUUUAGAUAGGAGUUUGGCUUCUGUUCAAAUUGAUCUGUUUUAUCUGCUGUUGCUGCUCAUAACUGUCUGUUUUGUUGCUCUGUAUUUUUAUGAGCUAGCUUUAUAUACCAUUUCAUAUUUUAUGGCAGGCAUGGGAAGCCCCAAGCAAAAUGUUUUGCAGCAGUGGAGCACUGUUGCACGAGAAAAUGCACAAGAAGGUUGCUUGUUUCCGCUAGCACAAAUGUUGCAGAGAAUUCCUGUGCUGACCAACAUUAAAUCUCAC
Non-coding RNA from Podarcis lilfordi (Lilford's wall lizard), 12044 nucleotides. The record is from the annotation of a GenBank genome assembly. Lineage: Eukaryota; Metazoa; Chordata; Lepidosauria; Squamata; Lacertidae.